AACAAGGCGUACCUGCGGACCUGCGGAGGGAUCAUUACCAGAGUGCCCUAGGCUCUCCAACCCAUUGUGAACUUACCAAACGUUCCCUCGGCGGGCUCAGCGCGCGGCGGCCUCCGGGCCUCCGGGCGUCCGCCGGGGAAAACCAAACCCUGAUUUAAUCGUAUUUCUCUGAGGGGCGAAAGCCCGAAAACAAAAUGAAUCAAAACUUUCAACAAUGGAUCUCAGAUCGGAAGAGCACAC
RNAcentral lists this unclassified non-coding RNA (240 nucleotides) under soil metagenome. RNAcentral's name for it is "partial contains 5.8S ribosomal RNA, internal transcribed spacer 2, and large subunit ribosomal RNA". The record is from RNAcentral.